Molecule: unclassified non-coding RNA, 424 nt
Filed under: soil metagenome
Description: partial contains 5.8S ribosomal RNA, internal transcribed spacer 2, and large subunit ribosomal RNA
Rfam family: 5.8S ribosomal RNA (bases 1-120)
Source: RNAcentral
GAUGAAGAACGUAGCGAAAUGCGAUAAGUAAUGUGAAUUGCAGAUUUCAGUGAAUCAUCGAAUCUUUGAACGCACCUUGCGCCUUGUGGUAUUCCACAAGGCAUGCCCGUUUGAGUAUCAUUAAAUCAUCAACUCUAAAACCUUUGUGGUUUUUUUAGAGCUUGGUCUUGAGGGUUUUGCAGGCUUUUUUUUUUUUUCGAGUCUGCUCCCUUUAAAUGCAUUAGCGAGACUUCCCUAUGCUGAACCGUCUCUUUGACGUGAUAAUUAUCUGCGUCGAAUUUUGGUUCUCGUUGGGCUUGCUUCUAAUCGUCUGUUAAAGACAAAACGGAUUUGGGUGCAUAUAUGCGCCUUUUUCCAAAACCUUUUUUGAUCUCAAAUCGGGUAGGACUACCCGCUGAACUUAAGCAUAUCAAUAAGCGGAGGA